This 435-nucleotide ribosomal RNA is filed under the name uncultured bacterium. RNAcentral describes it as "partial 16S ribosomal RNA". It matches the Rfam family "Bacterial small subunit ribosomal RNA", at positions 29 to 507 of the family's 1533-position model. The record is from RNAcentral.
AGUGAACGCUGGCGGCAGGCUUAACACAUGCAAGUCGAACGCAUCACUUCGGUGGUGAGUGGCAGACGGGUGAGUAACACGUGGGAACGUACCCUUCGAUCUGGGAUAACUUCGGGAAACUGGAGCUAAUACCGGAUACGCCCUUUUGGGGAAAGGUUUACUGUCGAAGGAUCGGCCCGCGUCUGAUUAGCUAGUUGGUGGGGUAACGGCCUACCAAGGCGACGAUCAGUAGCUGGUCUGAGAGGAUGAUCAGCCACACUGGGACUGAGACACGGCCCAGACUCCUACGGGAGGCAGCAGUGGGGAAUAUUGGACAAUGGGCGCAAGCCUGAUCCAGCCAUGCCGCGUGAGUGAUGAAGGCCUUAGGGUUGUAAAGCUCUUUUGUCCGGGACGAUAAUGACGGUACCGGAAGAAUAAGCCCCGGCUAACUUCGUG